UCUCCGUAGGUGAACCUGCGGAAGGAUCAUUAUUGUAUAACCGAGGUGCGAGGGCUGUCGCUGACCCGAAAGGUCGUGCACGCCCGAGUGCCCUCACACACAUCCAUCUCACCCCUAUGUGCACCACCGGGUGGGUCCCCCUUUGGCUUGUUCGGAGGGGGGCUUACGUUGUCACACAAACUUUGUAUGCAGUGUAGAAUGUAUUUUUUGUUUUUGCGAUCACGCAAUCAAUACAACUUUCAACAACGGAUCUCUUGGCUCUC
Molecule: unclassified non-coding RNA, 263 nt
Filed under: plant metagenome
Description: partial contains small subunit ribosomal RNA, internal transcribed spacer 1, and 5.8S ribosomal RNA
Source: RNAcentral